Molecule: ribosomal RNA, 468 nt
Filed under: uncultured bacterium
Lineage: Bacteria
Description: partial 16S ribosomal RNA
Rfam family: Bacterial small subunit ribosomal RNA
Source: RNAcentral
GAUGAACGCUGGCGGCGUGCUUAACACAUGCAAGUCGAACGGGGAAGGCGGAGCUUGCUCUGCUGGAUCAGUGGCGAACGGGUGAGUAACACGUGAGCAAUCUGCCCCUGACUCUGGGAUAAGCGCUGGAAACGGCGGCUAAUACUGGAUACGAGCUGCGAAGGCAUCUUCAGCAGCUGGAAAGAAUUUCGGUCAGGGAUGAGCUCGCGGCCUAUCAGCUUGUUGGUGAGGUAAUGGCUCACCAAGGCGUCGACGGGUAGCCGGCCUGAGAGGGUGACCGGCCACACUGGGACUGAGACACGGCCCAGACUCCUACGGGAGGCAGCAGUGGGGAAUAUUGCACAAUGGGCGAAAGCCUGAUGCAGCAACGCCGCGUGAGGGACGACGGCCUUCGGGUUGUAAACCUCUUUUAGCAGGGAAGAAGCGAAAGUGACGGUACCUGCAGAAAAAGCGCCGGCUAACUACGUG